RNAcentral lists this ribosomal RNA (252 nucleotides) under uncultured bacterium. RNAcentral describes it as "partial 16S ribosomal RNA". It matches the Rfam family "Bacterial small subunit ribosomal RNA", at positions 524 to 776 of the family's 1533-position model. The record is from RNAcentral.
UACGGAGGGGACUAGCGUUGUUCGGAAUUACUGGGCGUAAAGCGCACGUAGGCGGAUUUGUAAGUCAGGGGUGAAAUCCCGAGGCUCAACCUCGGAACUGCCUUUGAUACUGCAAAUCUCGAGUCCGGAAGAGGUGAGUGGAAUUCCUAGUGUAGAGGUGAAAUUCGUAGAUAUAGGAAGAACACCAGUGGCGAAGGCGGCUCACUGGUCCGGUACUGACGCUGAGGUGCGAAAGCGUGGGGAGCAAACAGG